GAUGAACGCUGGCGGCGUGCCUAAUACAUGCAAGUCGAGCGAACAGAUAAGGAGCUUGCUCCUUUGACGUUAGCGGCGGACGGGUGAGUAACACGUGGGUAACCUACCUAUAAGACUGGGAUAACUUCGGGAAACCGGAGCUAAUACCGGAUAAUAUUUCGAACCGCAUGGUUCGAUAGUGAAAGAUGGUUUUGCUAUCACUUAUAGAUGGACCCGCGCCGUAUUAGCUAGUUGGUAAGGUAACGGCUUACCAAGGCGACGAUACGUAGCCGACCUGAGAGGGUGAUCGGCCACACUGGAACUGAGAUACGGUCCAGACUCCUACGGGAGGCAGCAGUAGGGAAUCUUCCGCAAUGGGCGAAAGCCUGACGGAGCAACGCCGCGUGAGUGAUGAAGGUCUUCGGAUCGUAAAACUCUGUUAUUAGGGAAGAACAUACGUGUAAGUAACUGUGCACGUCUUGACGGUACCUAAUCAGAAAGCCACGGCUAACUACGUG
This 497-nucleotide ribosomal RNA is filed under the name uncultured bacterium. RNAcentral describes it as "partial 16S ribosomal RNA". It matches the Rfam family "Bacterial small subunit ribosomal RNA", at positions 28 to 507 of the family's 1533-position model. The record is from RNAcentral.